Molecule: ribosomal RNA, 253 nt
Filed under: uncultured bacterium
Lineage: Bacteria
Description: partial 16S ribosomal RNA
Rfam family: Bacterial small subunit ribosomal RNA
Source: RNAcentral
UACAGAGGGGGCAAGCGUUGUUCGGAAUUACUGGGCGUAAAGGGCGCGUAGGCGGCGAUUCAAGUCAGGCGUGAAAGGCCUGGGCUCAACCCGGGAACUGCGUUUGAUACUGGAUUGCUGGAGUCCGGGAGAGGAUGGCGGAAUUCCCAGUGUAGAGGUGAAAUUCGUAGAUAUUGGGAAGAACACCGGUGGCGAAGGCGGCCAUCUGGACCGGAACUGACGCUGAGGCGCGAAAGCGUGGGGAGCAAACAGG